Molecule: non-coding RNA, 89 nt
Organism: Acanthosepion pharaonis
Lineage: Eukaryota; Metazoa; Mollusca; Cephalopoda; Sepiida; Sepiidae
Source: the annotation of a GenBank genome assembly
CGGUCCUCGUACGAUCACCGAAGUUAAGCAACAUCGAUCCUAGCCAGUACCUAGAUGGAUGACUGCAUGGGAAUACCAGGUGCUGUAAG